RNAcentral lists this ribosomal RNA (323 nucleotides) under Staphylococcus aureus. RNAcentral describes it as "partial 23S ribosomal RNA". It matches the Rfam family "Bacterial large subunit ribosomal RNA", at positions 1908 to 2230 of the family's 2925-position model. The record is from RNAcentral. Lineage: Bacteria; Bacillati; Bacillota; Bacilli; Caryophanales; Staphylococcaceae.
CGAAUCGAAGCCCCAGUAAACGGCGGCCGUAACUAUAACGGUCCUAAGGUAGCGAAAUUCCUUGUCGGGUAAGUUCCGACCCGCACGAAAGGCGUAACGAUUUGGGCACUGUCUCAACGAGAGACUCGGUGAAAUCAUAGUACCUGUGAAGAUGCAGGUUACCCGCGACAGGACGGAAAGACCCCGUGGAGCUUUACUGUAGCCUGAUAUUGAAAUUCGGCACAGCUUGUACAGGAUAGGUAGGAGCCUUUGAAACGUGAGCGCUAGCUUACGUGGAGGCGCUGGUGGGAUACUACCCUAGCUGUGUUGGCUUUCUAACCCGC